AGUUCAGACGUGUCCUGCUUCCGAUUCUCUGAAAAGGCUCUAAAGAAACACAAGGAAAGAAUGGGGCACAGGUGUAUCAAAAUCUUAAAGAGCAGUCGAGCUGAAGUUAGAACUCACUAUGAUCCACCACAAAGGCUUGUGGCCAUGCCGCAGCCAGGUCCCUACCACAGACCUGGAGCUGGCAGAGGCUAUCACGGCAUUGGCAGGGGAGCUGGCUGUAAACAGAUGAGGUGAGGGGCUUACGGUGGACGCUGCGGAG
This is a long non-coding RNA of Herpailurus yagouaroundi (jaguarundi), 259 nucleotides long. RefSeq lists it as uncharacterized. Lineage: Eukaryota; Metazoa; Chordata; Mammalia; Carnivora; Felidae. The record is from RefSeq and is a predicted model, not a curated record. The transcript is spliced from 3 exons.